AUUGAACGCUGGCGGCAUGCCUUACACAUGCAAGUCGAACGGUAACGGGCCUUCGGGUGCCGACGAGUGGCGAACGGGUGAGUAAUACAUCGGAACGUGCCCGAUCGUGGGGGAUAACGAGGCGAAAGCUUUGCUAAUACCGCAUACGAUCUACGGAUGAAAGCAGGGGACCGCAAGGCCUUGCGCGGACGGAGCGGCCGAUGGCAGAUUAGGUAGUUGGUGGGAUAAAAGCUUACCAAGCCGACGAUCUGUAGCGGGUCUGAGAGGAUGAUCAGCCACACUGGGACUGAGACACGGCCCAGACUCCUACGGGAGGCAGCAGUGGGGAAUUUUGGACAAUGGGCGCAAGCCUGAUCCAGCCAUGCCGCGUGCAGGAUGAAGGCCUUCGGGUUGUAAACUGCUUUUGUACGGAACGAAAAGCCUUCUUUUAAUACAGGAGGGUCAUGACGGUACCGUAAGAAUAAGCACCGGCUAACUACGU
RNAcentral lists this ribosomal RNA (481 nucleotides) under uncultured bacterium. RNAcentral's name for it is "partial 16S ribosomal RNA". It matches the Rfam family "Bacterial small subunit ribosomal RNA", at positions 30 to 506 of the family's 1533-position model. The record is from RNAcentral.